This is a long non-coding RNA of Eriocheir sinensis (Chinese mitten crab), 907 nucleotides long. RefSeq lists it as uncharacterized. The record is from RefSeq and is a predicted model, not a curated record. Lineage: Eukaryota; Metazoa; Arthropoda; Malacostraca; Decapoda; Varunidae. The transcript has 3 exons.
UAUUAAUACAUGUGUGGGUAGCACCAUGAAACUAAAAAGAUACAAUGGUAGGAAGGAAAGCACAACAAGGGAGGGGGCGGUACCUCCCCCUGGACAAUAAGACAAUAAAAUGUGGGGACGGAGAACAUUGCCCAAGCAUACCCACAAAGUUAUAUACAUAGAGGAUUCACAGAGCCUGGAUGUUGAAGCAACUGGCGGCCAUCUUAGAGUGACGGAUGGCGAGACAAAUUUAAUAUCACAUAUAAACUUAUUACCAUUGUCAUCGUAACCGAAAUUAUCAAAACUGAAAGAGAAGAUACACACAUAAGGUCGGUAUUAUAAGACACUUUUUCUUCUCACGUCAGCUAUUUCUAAUGGUCAAAGAGGGGUCAGUUGGGUUCUAAUGAGUGUUUCUUCAGUUUCGUGGUACACUACCCCCACAACUCCUACGAAAGCCUUGUCAAAUAUGUGUUUUUGAACGACGAAAUGACUUAGAAUACUUCUUCUUCUUUAGUGUUUUAUGGUACGACCCUAUAGUAUCCCCUCUCCUUGUUUUGAGCGCCGAUUCAAAGGCUACACCGACUACUGGGUGACUCUCCUACAUCAAGUUCAAGUUUAUUUUUGUGUUGUUUACGUUGCGUCAUUGGGAGGUGUGGCACGUGACACACUGACGGAGAAGAGGAAGACACAUCCACCACCACCACCACUACUACAAGCAGCACGCAACCACCACCACCACAGCUUGCAGCACAGUACACCACUACCAUAACACCCCCGAGUCUGGUGGUGAACUUGAGAAUGCUGAGCAAAUGGCCAACAUCGUGCUGUCCAUCCUGACCCGCAUUAACAAGUCUCAGCUGUGGCCGGGAGAUUCAGGCGAUGCCUUCAAAAAGAUUUCAGUAACCUACACAGACCACAGUUAUGUCAU